This 836-nucleotide ribosomal RNA is filed under the name uncultured Mycobacterium sp. Its description in RNAcentral is "bacterial SSU rRNA". It matches the Rfam family "Bacterial small subunit ribosomal RNA", at positions 45 to 894 of the family's 1533-position model. The record is from RNAcentral. Lineage: Bacteria; Bacillati; Actinomycetota; Actinomycetes; Mycobacteriales; Mycobacteriaceae.
GGCCUAACACAUGCAAGUCGAACGGAAAGGCCCUUCGGGGUACUCGAGUGGCGAACGGGUGAGUAACACGUGGGUGAUCUGCCCUGCACUUCGGGAUAAGCCUGGGAAACUGGGUCUAAUACCGGAUAUGACUAUGGCCUUCAUGGGUUGUGGUGGAAAGCUUUUGCGGUGUGGGAUGGGCCCGCGGCCUAUCAGCUUGUUGGUGGGGUAAUGGCCUACCAAGGCGACGACGGGUAGCCGGCCUGAGAGGGUGUCCGGCCACACUGGGACUGAGAUACGGCCCAGACUCCUACGGGAGGCAGCAGUGGGGAAUAUUGCACAAUGGGCGCAAGCCUGAUGCAGCGACGCCGCGUGAGGGAUGACGGCCUUCGGGUUGUAAACCUCUUUCAGCAGGGACGAAGCGCAAGUGACGGUACCUGUAGAAGAAGGACCGGCCAACUACGUGCCAGCAGCCGCGGUAAUACGUAGGGUCCGAGCGUUGUCCGGAAUUACUGGGCGUAAAGAGCUCGUAGGUGGUUUGUCGCGUUGUUCGUGAAAACUCACAGCUUAACUGUGGGCGUGCGGGCGAUACGGGCAGACUUGAGUACUGCAGGGGAGACUGGAAUUCCUGGUGUAGCGGUGGAAUGCGCAGAUAUCAGGAGGAACACCGGUGGCGAAGGCGGGUCUCUGGGCAGUAACUGACGCUGAGGAGCGAAAGCGUGGGGAGCGAACAGGAUUAGAUACCCUGGUAGUCCACGCCGUANACGGUGGGUACUAGGGUGUGGGGUUUCCUUCCUUGGGAUCCGUGCCGUAGCUAACGCAUUAAGUACCCCGCCUGGGGAGUACGGCCGCAAGGC